This 280-nucleotide ribosomal RNA is filed under the name uncultured bacterium. Its description in RNAcentral is "partial 16S ribosomal RNA". It matches the Rfam family "Bacterial small subunit ribosomal RNA", at positions 506 to 785 of the family's 1533-position model. The record is from RNAcentral.
UGCCAGCAGCCGCGGUAAUACGGAGGGCGCAAGCGUUGUUCGGAAUCAUUGGGCGUAAAGCGCGUGUAGGUGGCUUGGCAAGUUGGGUGUGAAAGCCCGGGGCCCAACCCCGGAAUUGCACUCAAAACUGCCUGGCUAGAGUCCCGGAGGGGAAGGCGGAAUUCCCGGUGUAGAGGUGAAAUUCGUAGAUAUCGGGAGGAACACCAGUGGCGAAGGCGGCCUUCUGGACGGUGACUGACACUGAGACGCGAAAGCGUGGGGAGCAAACAGGAUUAGAUAC